GAUUUGUCAAAGCAUAUCUUUGAGUUUGAUGAUGAAUUUAUCUUCAGCCUAAAGGAGUCCGAUGAACCAUUGGCUGUUGUUAGUCCAGAGGAACCCACACAGCCACUUCAUACAUCAACACCAAAGAAACCCAUACAUACAAGUAAAACAGGAAAAGGCAGACCAGUUCGGAG
Long non-coding RNA from Mya arenaria, 173 nucleotides. RefSeq lists it as uncharacterized. The record is from RefSeq and is a predicted model, not a curated record. The transcript is spliced from 3 exons. NCBI's taxonomy places the organism in Eukaryota, Metazoa, Mollusca, Bivalvia, Myida, Myidae.